RNAcentral lists this ribosomal RNA (164 nucleotides) under Spathandra blakeoides. RNAcentral describes it as "5.8S ribosomal RNA". It matches the Rfam family "5.8S ribosomal RNA". From Rfam's summary of the family: 5.8S ribosomal RNA (5.8S rRNA) is a component of the large subunit of the eukaryotic ribosome. It is transcribed by RNA polymerase I as part of the 45S precursor that also contains 18S and 28S rRNA. The record is from RNAcentral. Lineage: Eukaryota; Viridiplantae; Streptophyta; Magnoliopsida; Myrtales; Melastomataceae.
GAAAACAACUCUCGGCAACGGAUAUCUCGGCUCUUGCAUCGAUGAAGAACGUAGCGAAAUGCGAUACUUGGUGUGAAUUGCAGAAUCCCGUGAACCAUCGAGUCUUUGAACGCAAGUUGCGCCCGAAGCCAUUUGGUUGAGGGCACGCCUGCCUGGGUGUCGUG